Cutaneotrichosporon oleaginosum is the source of this 90-nucleotide non-coding RNA. Lineage: Eukaryota; Fungi; Basidiomycota; Tremellomycetes; Trichosporonales; Trichosporonaceae. The record is from the annotation of a RefSeq genome assembly.
GUCCUCGUGGUGUAGUGGUUAUCAUACUCUCUUAGGGUUGUCCUGAGCAUCUUAUGGGAGUGGCCCCGCGUUCGAAUCGCGGCGAGGACC